GGGGAAUCUUGCGCAAUGCGCGAAAGCGUGACGCAGCAACGCCGCGUGGGGGAAGACGGCCUUCGGGUUGUAAACCCCUUUCAGGAGGGACGAAGGUUCACCGGUGAAUAGCCGUGUGGAUUGACGGUACCUCCACAAGAAGGUCCGGCUAACUACGUGCCAGCAGCCGCGGUAAUACGUAGGGACCAAGCGUUGUCCGGAAUCAUUGGGCGUAAAGCGCGCGUAGGUGGCUUCGUAAGUCCGUUGUGAAAGUCAAAGGCUCAACCUUUGAAAGCCGAUGGAUACUGCGGAGCUAGAGUACGGAAGAGGCGAGUGGAAUUCCUGGUGUAGCGGUGGAAUGCGCAGAUAUCAGGAGGAACACCAAUAGCGAAGGCAGCUCGCUGGGACGUUACUGACACUAAGGCGCGAAAGCGUGGGGAGCGAACA
RNAcentral lists this ribosomal RNA (426 nucleotides) under uncultured bacterium. RNAcentral describes it as "bacterial SSU rRNA". It matches the Rfam family "Bacterial small subunit ribosomal RNA", at positions 356 to 774 of the family's 1533-position model. The record is from RNAcentral.